RNAcentral lists this ribosomal RNA (207 nucleotides) under uncultured bacterium. RNAcentral's name for it is "partial 16S ribosomal RNA". It matches the Rfam family "Bacterial small subunit ribosomal RNA", at positions 568 to 774 of the family's 1533-position model. The record is from RNAcentral.
UGUGUAGGUGGCCAUGUAAGUCAGGUGUGAAAGCCCCGGGCUCAACCCGGGAAGUGCAUUUGAUACUGCGUGGCUUGAGUACCGAAGAGGGUAGUGGAAUUCCAGGUGUAGUGGUGAAAUACGUGGAUAUCUGGAGGUACACCGGUGGCGAAGGCGGCUACCUGGUCGAGUACUGACACUGAGACACGAAAGCAUGGGGAUCAAACA